GAUGGUCACAACUAAAUGGGACAAAGGU
Molecule: non-coding RNA, 28 nt
Filed under: Rattus norvegicus (Norway rat)
Lineage: Eukaryota; Metazoa; Chordata; Mammalia; Rodentia; Muridae
Source: RNAcentral